Molecule: ribosomal RNA, 361 nt
Filed under: uncultured bacterium
Lineage: Bacteria
Description: bacterial SSU rRNA
Rfam family: Bacterial small subunit ribosomal RNA
Source: RNAcentral
GACGAACGCUGGCGGCGUGCUUAACACAUGCAAGUCGGGCGGUAAGGCCCUUUCGGGGGUACACGAGCGGCGAACGGGUGAGUAACACGUGGGUGACCUGCCCUUAGCUCUGGGAUAAGCCUGGGAAACUGGGUCUAAUACCGGAUAUGACUCCAUGACGCAUGUUGUGGGGUGGAAAGCCUUGUGCGGCUAGGGAUGGGCCCGCGGCCUAUCAGCUUGUUGGUGGGGUGAUGGCCUACCAAGGCGACGACGGGUAGCCGGCCUGAGAGGGCGACCGGCCACACUGGGACUGAGACACGGCCCAGACUCCGUACGGGAGGCAGCAGGUGGGGAAUCUUGCGCAAUGGGCGAAAGCCUGACG